GGGUUAUUAGUCCAAACAAGACACUUGAUUUCGGCUCAAGAGAUUGAGGUGCAACCCCUCAGUUACCCU
Molecule: transfer RNA, 69 nt
Filed under: Benthosema glaciale
Lineage: Eukaryota; Metazoa; Chordata; Actinopteri; Myctophiformes; Myctophidae
Description: tRNA-Arg
Rfam family: tRNA
About the family: Transfer RNA (tRNA) molecules are approximately 80 nucleotides in length. Their secondary structure includes four short double-helical elements and three loops (D, anti-codon, and T loops).
Source: RNAcentral